CCUGUUAAGAACAACAUUUUUUCUUUGCGAUUUUGCGGCGUUUGCAAAACAUAAUUUGGCUUGUAAACAAAUCUAGUUCAAGGUUGCUACAUUUAGCAUCGAUUUGUGAUUCGUAAAAGGAGAAAACCAAAGAAAAUAAUUUUAAGUUAAUUAUACUAUUUGUUGCUAAAAUGUGUGAUAAAAGCCAUCCGACGUCUUCAAAUGCCCCUGGUGAAGCCAUUAAUGAGCAUCAAGAAAAGAUCGAGGCAGAAUUUAAAACCAUUCAGAAAUGCUGUGUAUACAUUGGAAACAUCCCAUCUUUUGUAUCAAAGCUCGAAUUGGUUGAAAGGUUUUCCAAAUUCGGUGAUAUGUGCAACAUUUUUGUGCAACCAAACAGACCGCACUGCGACGUUAAAGCAGCAAUUGUUCGAUAUUGUUCGGAACGUAGUGUGAAAAGAGCUCUUUGUUUACAUAAUAACGAAUUUCAUAACUCUGUGUUAAUAGUCAUACAAGUAGGAUUGUCUCACUCAAAAUAUCUACUGACCUACAAUACUUGCAUUGCAGUGAAUGUCAGUGACGAUACUCCACUAAUUUACGUUUAUGAUGAAUUUGAAAAAGUUGGCAGUAUUUUUCACAUUUUUAAAUCAAUAAAUAAUAUAAUUUAUGUUGACUUUAAAGAGUAUCUAGAUAUGGAAACGGCUGUGGCUUCUCAGUCUUUUAUAAUAAACGAUCGUAUCCUUAAAAUUUCCAGAAAUAAGAAAAAUAUAAACAUGUGUCUUUUAUACUUAGAGAGCUUGACUGAUACCGCAAAUAUGGUAAAAGUAAAAGAAUACAUUUUAUACGAUUUCAAAGCAUUUUGGAAAACUAAAAAGAAGUUAUCACCAAAUGUCCAGGAAGAUGAAACUUGGGAACCUAUUCCAGGGCCAUCAAAACCAUCAAAACGUACUCGGUCUCCCUAAACUACCAUCAGUCAUACUGACUGCUCUGAGGAACUGAGUACACUUCGAGUGUAUUCUUUGGAAUGGAUACACCGCUGCUCGUUGGAAUAAUCGAUGUUCUUAAUUCUACCUCAUCAUGUUAGUUAAUUAACGAAGACAAUAGCUUGAUAUCAAACUUGCCAAAAAAUUCAUUUUUACGUAACACAUAUUAUAAGUUGCCCAUUGAUCUGAUCCAUAUCUGAUUUCUUUUUAAUGUUUGAAUAAGAGUAAAAACUCUACGUAAAAUGAUUUCGUUUUUUCACAUGAUAACAGCUCAAUAAUCAGACGUAUUUAUCAAACCUAUUGAAACUUUAUUCAAUCACAAAAAAAAUGUUGCCAUAAAUUUCCAAAUUGCCAUAUAAUGUACAAAUUGUAGAAAUAAAGUCGUGUUAAAUAUAUGUUAAAAAA
Molecule: long non-coding RNA, 1364 nt
Organism: Aedes aegypti (yellow fever mosquito)
Lineage: Eukaryota; Metazoa; Arthropoda; Insecta; Diptera; Culicidae
Exons: 2
Source: RefSeq, a predicted model, not a curated record